RNAcentral lists this long non-coding RNA (384 nucleotides) under Mytilus galloprovincialis (Mediterranean mussel). The record is from RNAcentral. Lineage: Eukaryota; Metazoa; Mollusca; Bivalvia; Mytilida; Mytilidae.
UGCUUUUAAAAAUAAUUCGGACAAGAAGGACAAAAUGAGGACAACUCAAUAACGAGUAUUUAUUUAGUAAUAACGAAAUCGGAUUGUCUUCUUGAACGUUUCAAGCCAAAAGACGUAAGAAACGUUGCUUUUGAUUGGACGAUUAGAUGUUUACUCUAACGUCAUAGUAAGUGCCAAAAGACAUAAAUAGGAGCCUGUAGAACAACAUGUCAUUCUGAAUCAAUCUCUUGAACCGUCAACUACCUUUUAUAUUGACCACCCGAUUUAUUGCUUUAUCUGUUGAAUGAUGAAUGUGUAUUUGAUGUUUAUUAUAUUGAAAGAAGAAGUCAAAAUACUACUAAAAUAAAUAUUGUUAUGUUUAUUACAAAUAUGUUUAUCCACAAU